UACGUAGGGUGCGAGCGUUAAUCGGAAUUACUGGGCGUAAAGCGUGCGUAGGUGGUUCGUUGUGUCUGUGGUGAAAGCCCCGGGCCUAACCUGGGAAUGGCCAUGGAAACUGGCGAGCUGGAGUGUGGCAGAGGGGGGUGGAAUUCCGCGUGUAGCAGUGAAAUGCGUAGAGAUGCGGAGGAACACCGAUGGCGAAGGCAGCCCCCUGGGCUAACACUGACGCUGAGGCACGAAAGCGUGGGGAGCAAACAGG
This 253-nucleotide ribosomal RNA is filed under the name uncultured bacterium. RNAcentral's name for it is "partial 16S ribosomal RNA". It matches the Rfam family "Bacterial small subunit ribosomal RNA", at positions 524 to 776 of the family's 1533-position model. The record is from RNAcentral.